This 433-nucleotide ribosomal RNA is filed under the name uncultured bacterium. RNAcentral's name for it is "partial 16S ribosomal RNA". It matches the Rfam family "Bacterial small subunit ribosomal RNA", at positions 29 to 507 of the family's 1533-position model. The record is from RNAcentral.
AAUGAACGCUGGCGGCAUGCCUAACACAUGCAAGUCGAACGAGACCUUCGGGUCUAGUGGCGCACGGGUGCGUAACGCGUGGGAACCUGCCCUUAGGUUUGGAAUAACUCCCCGAAAGGGGUGCUAAUACCGGAUAAUGUCUUCGGACCAAAGAUUUAUCGCCUUUGGAUGGGCCCGCGUUGGAUUAGCUAGUUGGUAGGGUAAAAGCCUACCAAGGCGACGAUCCAUAGCUGGUUUGAGAGGAUGAUCAGCCACACUGGGACUGAGACACGGCCCAGACUCCUACGGGAGGCAGCAGUGGGGAAUAUUGGACAAUGGGCGGAAGCAUGAUCGAGCAAUGCCGCGUGAGUGAUGAAGGCCUUAGGGUUGUAAAGCUCUUUUACCCGGGAUGAUAAUGACGGUACCGGGAGAAUAAGCUCCGGCUAACUCCGUG